GCAUAUCAAUAAGCGGAGGAAAAGAAACCAACAGGGAUUGCCCCAGUAACGGCGAGUGAAGCGGCAAAAGCUCAAAUUUGAAAUCCUGCGGGAAUUGUAAUUUGAAGGUUUCGUGGUCUGAGUCGGCCGCGCCCAAGUCCAUUGGAACAUGGCGCCUGGGAGGGUGAGAGCCCCGUAUGGCGCACGCCGACUCUUUGCACCGCGGCUCCGACGAGUCGAGUUGUUUGGGAAUGCAGCUCUAAGUGGGUGGUAAAUUCCAUCUAAAGCUAAAUAUUGGCGAGAGACCGAUAGCGAACAAGUACAGUGAUGGAAAGAUGAAAAGCACUUUGAAAAGAGAGUGAAACAGCACGUGAAAUUGUUGAAAGGGAAGGGCUUGCAAGCAGACACGGUUUUACCGGGCCAGCGUCGAAAAGGGGGGAGGAACAAGAACUCGAGAAUGUGGCGCGCACCUUCGGGCGCGCGUGUUAUAGCUCGUGUUGACGCCUCCAUCCCUUUUCGAGGCCUGCGAUUCUAGGACGCUGGCGUAAUGGUUGCAAGCCGCCCGUCUUGAACCACGGACCA
Molecule: ribosomal RNA, 561 nt
Filed under: Clavispora lusitaniae
Lineage: Eukaryota; Fungi; Ascomycota; Pichiomycetes; Serinales; Metschnikowiaceae
Description: eukaryotic LSU rRNA
Rfam family: Eukaryotic large subunit ribosomal RNA
Source: RNAcentral